RNAcentral lists this ribosomal RNA (326 nucleotides) under uncultured eukaryote. RNAcentral describes it as "partial 18S ribosomal RNA". It matches the Rfam family "Eukaryotic small subunit ribosomal RNA", at positions 1470 to 1796 of the family's 1831-position model. The record is from RNAcentral.
CCCUUAGAUGUCCUGGGCCGCACGCGCGCUACACUGAUGCGCUCAACGAGUUUACGACCUUGCCCGGAAGGGUUGGGUAAUCUUUUUAAAACGCAUCGUGAUGGGGAUAGAUUAUUGCAAUUAUUAAUCUUUAACGAGGAAUUCCUAGUAAGCGCGAGUCAUCAGCUCGUGCUGAUUACGUCCCUGCCCUUUGUACACACCGCCCGUCGCUCCUACCGAUUGAAUGAUCCGGUGAAUAAUUCGGACUGCAGCAGUGUUCAGUUCCUGAACGUUGCAGCGGAAAGUUUAGUGAACCUUAUCACUUAGAGGAAGGAGAAGUCGUAACA